UGGGGAAUUUCGGACAAUGGGGGAAACCCUGAUCCAGCCAUCCCGCGUGUGCGAUGAAGGCCUUCGGGUUGUAAAGCACUUUUGGCAGGAAAGAAACGUCGCGGGUUAAUACCCCGCGGAACUGACGGUACCUGCAGAAUAAGCACCGGCUAACUACGUGCCAGCAGCCGCGGUAAUACGUAGGGUGCAAGCGUUAAUCGGAAUUACUGGGCGUAAAGCGUGCGCAGGCGGUUCGGAAAGAAAGAUGUGAAAUCCCAGAGCUUAACUUUGGAACUGCAUUUUUAACUACCGGGCUAGAGUGUGUCAGAGGGAGGUGGAAUUCCGCGUGUAGCAGUGAAAUGCGUAGAUAUGCGGAGGAACACCGAUGGCGAAGGCAGCCUCCUGGGAUAACACUGACGCUCAUGCACGAAAGCGUGGGGAGCAAACAGGAUUAGAUACCCUGGUAGUCCACGCCCUAAACGAUGUCAACUAGCUGUUGGGGUCUUCGGACCUUGGUAGCGCAGCUAACGCGUGAAGUUGACCGCCUGGGGAGUACGGUCGCAAGAUUAAAACUCAAAUGAAUU
RNAcentral lists this ribosomal RNA (563 nucleotides) under uncultured bacterium. Its description in RNAcentral is "partial 16S ribosomal RNA". It matches the Rfam family "Bacterial small subunit ribosomal RNA", at positions 355 to 911 of the family's 1533-position model. The record is from RNAcentral.